GCCGGGCAUGGUGGCAGGUGCCUGUAGUCCCAGCUACUCAGGAGGCUGAGGCAGGAGAAUCGCUUGAACCCAGGAGGUUGAGGUUGCAGUGAGCCGAGGUUGCGCCACUGCACUCCAGCCUGAGUGACAGAGUGAGACCUUGUCUCUA
This 148-nucleotide small RNA is filed under the name Callithrix jacchus (white-tufted-ear marmoset). Its description in RNAcentral is "Metazoan signal recognition particle RNA (ENSCJAG00000079511.1)". The record is from Rfam by way of RNAcentral. Lineage: Eukaryota; Metazoa; Chordata; Mammalia; Primates; Cebidae.